Molecule: ribosomal RNA, 181 nt
Filed under: Hebeloma angustilamellatum
Lineage: Eukaryota; Fungi; Basidiomycota; Agaricomycetes; Agaricales; Hymenogastraceae
Description: 5.8S ribosomal RNA
Rfam family: 5.8S ribosomal RNA (bases 25-178)
About the family: 5.8S ribosomal RNA (5.8S rRNA) is a component of the large subunit of the eukaryotic ribosome. It is transcribed by RNA polymerase I as part of the 45S precursor that also contains 18S and 28S rRNA.
Source: RNAcentral
CCUUUGUGCCUAUAAAAUCUAUACAACUUUCAGCAACGGAUCUCUUGGCUCUCGCAUCGAUGAAGAACGCAGCGAAAUGCGAUAAGUAAUGUGAAUUGCAGAAUUCAGUGAAUCAUCGAAUCUUUGAACGCACCUUGCGCUCCUUGGUAUUCCGAGGAGCAUGCCUGUUUGAGUGUCAUUA